UUCACCUUUCCAUUCAAGGACUGAUUCAUUUGGAAAAUGGAAAUAUACCUUUUUCGUGCAGCAAUCAAUUGUGGCAUAACAAGACGCCAACCAGUCCAUACCCAUUAUAACAUCAAAAUCUACCAUUUCUAACUCCACAAGAUCAGCCAUCGUAUCACGACCACAAACAGUUACUAUGCAGUUUUGGUAAACCCUUCUAGCUAUAAUAGAUUCCCCAAC
RNAcentral lists this long non-coding RNA (219 nucleotides) under Capsicum annuum. RNAcentral's name for it is "long non-coding RNA (CANN_LNC005207)". Lineage: Eukaryota; Viridiplantae; Streptophyta; Magnoliopsida; Solanales; Solanaceae. The record is from RNAcentral.